AUAAAACUUCCAUAUUAGGAGCUAAAUGGUUUGGAAGACAAAGAAGUGCUGAGAAAUGAUGCCAUUUUGAAACAAAAUGCAAGAUCUUCGGGCAACUUCAACCUGGGAAUGAUUAUCAGAGUCAAUGGAUAACUACCCUAUUGAUGUAGGAACAACCAAAUUUCCUUGUCAGUUGCCUUAUUCUUAUGAUAAACCCUCAUCAGAACCUUCACUUUUGAAAACUUCUGAGAAGAGACAUGGAAGAAGCAAGGAAAGCCCUUGACUCCUGCACUAGCAAUCUCAUUCAUUAGUGGUCUUCAUGUCUUGUGACCUCUACUUAGGAAAAU
Tupaia belangeri chinensis (Chinese tree shrew) is the source of this 326-nucleotide long non-coding RNA. RefSeq lists it as uncharacterized. The transcript is spliced from 4 exons. Lineage: Eukaryota; Metazoa; Chordata; Mammalia; Scandentia; Tupaiidae. The record is from RefSeq and is a predicted model, not a curated record.